CACUGAGCAGUUUGUAAUAUUUUGAAAGUAGGAUAGAAUCACAAUAUCUCGUCAGAAGCAGCCCACAUGGAUCACUGAGACUUGGCUACACACAUGAUUACCUGACACAUAGAGGUUUCAUUUCUGAGCCUGCAGACCAUACAGAAUGGAAAAGACCUCCAUUUGAAAUGAUAAGAAUGAGAGUAACUCUUAUUUCUAUGUAUGGGAGACUGAUCUGUAUUUAUACAUUUUUAAUGGGGACAGUGCUGCUAUGAUUGAAGGAACAGAAUCCCAUAACUCAGACUGACCCCACAGAACUGGAGGCACUCAGCCUAUUCUCAUUACUUUUCCUUCGAUCAUCACUAUACGAAGUUUGGCUGAGCACAAAUUAAAUCUGCAGCUCCAGCUUUUAGCUCUUCACUGAGUGAUAAUUCUCCACUGCAGAGAAAGACACCAGACAGCAUCAGUUUUUGGCUUACGACGCUGCUGUGGUCCACGCCUGCUUCAGUAGCAUGGCCAACAGAAGGCUCUGCAGCCUGUGACUAGCUCUGAGACUAUGAAUAGGAGGUGUUUCCUGCAGGCCAGCUACAGCAUCGCUAUUAGAAAGCCUCAGCCACAAGUGAAGAAUACAGGCCAGACUGAAAGCAAUGACUUGCUGGUGACUGAUCUCAGCUGAUGGGGGAAAAAAUGACUCCUCAGUGAACUGGGCUAGCUCCCAGAAAAAGAAUCCAUUGCUUUGGAAAAGAGAUUAAUGAAGUACAUUCAGCAGAUCUGCUGGCCACUGGACAGCAGUUUGUACUGCAGCCACCGGAUGAGGCAUUUUGUUGUGUCACUGGAUUAUUUAUAUCUUCCGUUGACUAGCACAUUGGUUUCCCUAAAACAGAAAAUGUCUAAAUGCUCCUGUACGGAAAAAAAGAUGUCAAGAGAUGUACAAACGGGCAGCCUGGCUUUUUGGAAAGUGUUGGGUGAGCAAUUUCCCUCAAGAUAGGAUGCAAGUGCAGCAAUAAAGGUACGUAUUGGAAGGUGUCUGUUGUGUUGGUAAGAGUUAGGCAACCCAGAGACAAGGAGAGAAAGUGGGAGCUGAUCCUGUUCCUGCUGAGACUUCUGGGAGAAAUAUUGCUGGAUUUCAGUACGGACAGUUGUGCUGGAUGAAUAUGCUUAUCUAGAAAUAAAACCCUGUUUUCUGAGUAAUUUUUUUUCCUAUCAGAAGUCCAAUAUGUGGAAAUUAAUUUCUAAAAUAAGGAUUGGAGUAUCAGCUAUGAUCUAAUUUAAUAACUUGAGGAUAUGCAAAGCACCCUACAAAUGUUAAUGAACUAAUCACCCAGCAGACUUCUGGGGUGAGAAAAAUGUGAUCUCUGUGUUACAAAUGGGAAACUGGGGCACAGAAAAGAUCAAAGAUUUAGAUUAGCCCUUUAGUUCUGUUCAUAAUUAAUACACUUACCAUGUACAAAAUUAGCCAGUUAAAAAAAGAAAAUGAUGUAGAACUGUUAGCUGCAGAAGUCAGAGAAACUAUUUUAUUAAGCAAUUAUAUAGAUCUCCAAACCUUUCACCUCUGAGCAUAAAUAACGAUUUAGGGGCAUCAAAUCAACUUCUUUUCCUUGUGGCUAAUAUUAUUUUCCAUCCUCUUACACUUCUCAGGUGCCAAAAUAAUGAAGUGGUGAUACUGUUUUCGUUACAAAAUCCUGAAGAGAACAGAACAAAAAAACUAAUGUGCUCAAAAUAAAUCUUGACAUUACCAUGUGUUACAUUAAAAUUGAUUAGAUUAAGGAUCUUGCACAUCAUUUUCAUGGUCUUUACAGCAGCAUAAUUCCACUGCCUUUAGCCUAGUACCUCCUGAUUUAUACUAGUGUGUGUGAAGUUGGGCUGUACUUGUAAUUUGAUUCCAUGUAUGCAGCUUUCAGCUGCAAUUUUUCACACCCUUCAUGAAGGUUACACAUAAUCCUGGCUGCCACCAUCCAAGUGGGAGCUUACCAGAAUAGAAUAGGGCAAAGGAUGACUUUGUGUAGCUCAUGUAAUCCAGUCUGUAGUUACUUGGUAUGAUAUUUUUCUUUAUGAUGAUUACAUGACAAUGCUGAAUAAAGAUUUGAUCUGAAAUAUUUCAGCCUUUAGGGUCCAUUUUUUUGUUGUUUGAGAAGCCUUUUCCCCCUUGUUCUCAAAAGAUCUUCUAGAUACCUUGUGACCAUGCAGUUAUUAAGGCCCAGUAUACAAACUAUAGUUUUCCAGAAAGAAUUUGCAGUUCAAUGGAAAAAUGUUUAGUAAUGGGAUAAAAUUAAUGUUGCAUCAGUGAGUAAAAAUGAGAUCAAACACAAAUGUGUGCUAGUUCCUACCUGGUUAUGCAUUAGCAAUUUUAUUUGUCCUGAGAUGUUUUCAUUUCUCGCUAAAAUAAUGUGGGAUAACAGUUACUGCUAAUCCUUUCAAAAAUACAUUCCUUCCUUACCAGCACUCCCUUUACAAUGAGAAUUUCCCUGUUUCCCUGGAGAUUCUCCUCUCAUCCAUGCUGUGGGGUUAAUCCUGGAAUCCUCAUUCAGACAAAAAAAAUAAAAAAGCAUUAACCUUCCUGGAAUAUUUCCCUGGGCUUUGAGAAAAGUCUGAGGAUCUAGCUUUUAAGUUUAUAGGGAAUCUUUCCUCUUUCAUUUACAAUGGUGCUGUAUUAGCAUGUCUUAGUAAUGCUUAACUUCAAUGCUUUGACUUUUAAUUUGAAACAUGGCUAUUAAGGUGAUAAAGAAAGGUACUGCUAGUUUUCUGGAAUGUCCUCAAUAGUUUUGAGAGGUAUUACAUUUUCUCCAGUAUUGAGUAUUUUAGUGCUC
This is a long non-coding RNA of Lagopus leucura (white-tailed ptarmigan), 2786 nucleotides long. RefSeq lists it as uncharacterized. NCBI's taxonomy places the organism in Eukaryota, Metazoa, Chordata, Aves, Galliformes, Phasianidae. The record is from RefSeq and is a predicted model, not a curated record. The transcript is spliced from 5 exons.